RNAcentral lists this ribosomal RNA (433 nucleotides) under uncultured bacterium. Its description in RNAcentral is "partial 16S ribosomal RNA". It matches the Rfam family "Bacterial small subunit ribosomal RNA", at positions 29 to 507 of the family's 1533-position model. The record is from RNAcentral.
AACGAACGCUGGCGGCAUGCCUAACACAUGCGAGUCGAACGAGACCUUCGGGUCUAGUGGCGCACGGGUGCGUAAAGCGUGGGAACCUGCCCUUAGGUUCGGAAUAACUCCCCGAAAGGGGUGCUAAUACCGGAUAAUGUCUUCGGACCAAAGAUUUAUCGCCUUUGGAUGGGCCCGCGUUGGAUUAGCUAGUUGGUAGGGUAAAAGCCUACCAAGGCGACGAUCCAUAGCUGGUCUGAGAGGAUGAUCAGCCACACUGGGGCUGAGACACGGCCCAGACUCCUACGGGAGGCAGCAGUGGGGAAUAUUGGACAAUGGGCGAAAGCCUGAUCCAGCAAUGCCGCGUGAGUGAUGAAGGCCUUAGGGUUGUAAAGCUCUUUUACCCGGGAUGAUAAUGACAGUACCGGGAGAAUAAGCUCCGGCUAACUCCGUG